Patella vulgata (common limpet) is the source of this 545-nucleotide long non-coding RNA. RefSeq lists it as uncharacterized. The transcript has 3 exons. The record is from RefSeq and is a predicted model, not a curated record. Lineage: Eukaryota; Metazoa; Mollusca; Gastropoda; Patellidae.
AUAUUAAAGUUUAUUGUAUUUAAUUGGGAGUUAAAAUUCUAUGCUUCGUAACUGUGUGUGUGUGUUUCCAAUAUGGGAAUUGCGUCGAUCCAGUAGCAGUAUUAACGAGUUGGUAAUAUAUGCUGUAAUAAACAAAUAUAACAAUGAAGUCAAAUCAGUUUUGCUACGCGGUGCCAUAUCUUCUCGUCCUAAGUUUUAACACGAAUUCUGUUUGUUGUAAAACUGAGGCUUAUCAGUAUACUUUCCACGUGGACAAAUUAAAUUGGAACGAGGCUCAUCGGAAUUGUCACCGAAUGAAUAGAAAUCUACUCCAUCUCAAAACAGUCAAGCAACAACGAACAAUGGUAGAAAUAACAGACUUAUGGGUACAAAAUAACCACAUUAAUGAUAAAUAUUGGAUAGGGGGCUUUAAUUAUGUGAAUACGUCAAAUCCAGGCCUGGAUGGUUGGUAUUGGGAUGAUUGUACCCCUAUUGGAGAACCCAGUCACUGGGCCUCAUCGGCCCACGAUGAUUCAAAGAAGAAAUGUGUAUUUAGGAGUAAACAU